GAGUUUGAUUAUGGCUCAGGAUGAACGCUAGCGGGAGGCCUAACACAUGCAAGCCGAGCGGGAUUUGUUGGUUAGCUUGCUAACUAAUAAUGAGAGCGGCGUACGGGUGCGUAACACGUGUGCAACCUGCCUUUAUCUGGGGGAUAGCCUUUCGAAAGGAAGAUUAAUACCCCAUAAUAUAUUAAUUGGCAUCAAUUGAUAUUGAAAGCUCCGGCGGAUAGAGAUGGGCACGCGUAAGAUUAGCUAGUUGGUGAGGUAACGGCUCACCAAGGCUGCGAUCUUUAGGGGGCCUGAGAGGGUGAUCCCCCACACUGGUACUGAGACACGGACCAGACUCCUACGGGAGGCAGCAGUGAGGAAUAUUGGACAAUGGGUGAGAGCCUGAUCCAGCCAUCCCGCGUGAAGGACUAAGGACCUAUGGUUUGUAAACUUCUUUUAUACAGGGAUAAACCUACUCUCGUGAGGGUAGCUGAAGGUACUGUAUGAAUAAGCCCCGGCA
RNAcentral lists this ribosomal RNA (499 nucleotides) under Bergeyella zoohelcum. Its description in RNAcentral is "bacterial SSU rRNA". It matches the Rfam family "Bacterial small subunit ribosomal RNA", at positions 9 to 498 of the family's 1533-position model. The record is from RNAcentral. Lineage: Bacteria; Pseudomonadati; Bacteroidota; Flavobacteriia; Flavobacteriales; Weeksellaceae.